GGGCGAAUGGUCUAGGGGUAUGAUACUCCCUUCGCAUAUUUGAAUCUUCAGAAUAGCCUGGGAGGGGUCCGGGGUUCAAUUCCCCGUUCGUCCA
Molecule: non-coding RNA, 94 nt
Organism: Hypoxylon argillaceum
Lineage: Eukaryota; Fungi; Ascomycota; Sordariomycetes; Xylariales; Hypoxylaceae
Source: the annotation of a GenBank genome assembly